Molecule: ribosomal RNA, 460 nt
Filed under: uncultured bacterium
Lineage: Bacteria
Description: partial 16S ribosomal RNA
Rfam family: Bacterial small subunit ribosomal RNA
Source: RNAcentral
CCUACGGGGCGCUGCAGUGAGGAAUAUUGGUCAAUGGGCGGAAGCCUGAACCAGCCAAGUCGCGUGAGGGAAUAAGGCCCUACGGGUCGUAAACCUCUUUUGCCGGGGAGCAAGGGCCGGGACGCGUCCCGGCCCGGAGAGUACCCGGAGCAAAAGCAUCGGCUAACUCCGUGCCAGCAGCCGCGGUAAUACGGGGGAUGCGAGCGUUAUCCGGUUUUAUGGGGUUUAAGGGGUGCGUAGGCGGGCUUUUAAGUCAGCGGUAAAAUUUCGGGGCUCAACCCCGUCCGGCCGUUGAAACUGGGGGCCUUGAGUGGGCGAGAAGAAGGCGGAAUGCGUGGUGUAGCGGUGAAAUGCAUAGAUAUCACGCAGAACCCCGAUUGCGAAGGCAGCCUUCCGGCGCCCUACUGACGCUGAGGCACGAAAGUGCGGGGAUCGAACAGGAUUAGAUACCCGAGUAGUC